UCGAACGAAGGUAGCAAUACUUAGUGGCAGACGGGUGAGUAACAUGUAGGUAUCUGCCCUUUGGCCUGGAAUAACACGAGGAAACUUGUGCUAAUACCGGAUAAGUCUUUACGGAGAAAGCUUUAUGCACCAUUGGAUGAGCCUGCACUUGAUUAGUUUGUUGGUGGGGUAAUGGCCUACCAAGACUGUGAUCAAUAGCUGAUUUGAGAGGAUGAUCAGCCACAUUGGGACUGAGACACGGCCCAAACUCCUACGGGAGGCAGCAGUGGGGAAUCUUGCACAAUGGAGGAAACUCUGAUGCAGCGAUGCCGCGUGAGUGAAGAAGGCCCUUGGGUUGUAAAGCUCUUUCGUCGGGGAAGAAAAUGACUGUACCCGAAUAAGAAGGUCCGGCUAACUUCGUGCCAGCAGCCGCGGUAAUACGAAGGGACCUAGCGUAGUUCGGAAUUACUGGGCUUAAAGAGUUCGUAGGUGGUUGAAAAAGUUAGUGGCGAAAUCCCAGAGCUUAACUCUGGAACUGCCAUUAAAACUUUUCAGCUAGAGUAUGAUAGAGGAAAGCAGAAUUUCUAGUGUAGAGGUGAAAUUCGUAGAUAUUAGAAAGAAUACCAAUUGCGAAGGCAGCUUUCUGGAUCAUUACUGACACUGAGGAACGAAAGCAUGGGUAGCGAAGAGGAUUAGAU
This 677-nucleotide ribosomal RNA is filed under the name uncultured bacterium. Its description in RNAcentral is "bacterial SSU rRNA". It matches the Rfam family "Bacterial small subunit ribosomal RNA", at positions 62 to 783 of the family's 1533-position model. The record is from RNAcentral.